Syngnathoides biaculeatus (alligator pipefish) is the source of this 997-nucleotide long non-coding RNA. RefSeq lists it as uncharacterized. The record is from RefSeq and is a predicted model, not a curated record. The transcript is spliced from 4 exons. Lineage: Eukaryota; Metazoa; Chordata; Actinopteri; Syngnathiformes; Syngnathidae.
UAUGAGGUCAUGGCUCUCUCGCUAAUGCGGUUAAAUGCUCGCUCUGCAGUUGCACGCCACUAAUUCAAAUCGGGGUUGGGCCGCAGCAAGUGAAAAGAAAAAAGACAACAAACAAGCAAGCAAACAAACAAACGGUCGUCUACAUCAACCUUGGCAAAACGAAGCCACAAGAUGGCGGCCAAGUGAAUCCUGUUGUCUCCUAAAAAAGCUCUUAAAUGCACGUCAACAUAAUUCCUUGGUACAAAGAAGUGACAAGAGGCCCCUAAAAGGCCAACGUUGAAGCUCCAAAACUCACUUAAACGGAGUUGCUCGGCACCAGGAUGGUGUCAAAAUAAUACGUUUGUCUCAAUCAAGCUCCUCAUCUCACAACAGCACUUAAAUGCCAAAAAGCCAUGCUUUGGACUGAAUGAAGCUCCUCAACUCACUUCAACAAAGUUCACUGGAACCAAGGAGGCCUCUUACCUUUCGGCAGAACUCCCAUCAAACUUUCCCAAGGAGCGAUCCGAUCCCGAGCCUGACGGCGUUACAGCUGCAGGCUUCCGAUCCGUUUCCGAUCCGGCACGCUUGGAGGAGGUCGCUCGGCGGCUUCGAAGUCCGGGAUCUGGUCGGGACGCCUCAGGUGGACGGCGGCGGGGAGGCCUUCAGACGGAAGGAGGGCCGACGCUAACUUUGUGGACACCAGAAAAAAACAGCGAGAGCCAGUCAACAAUGGUGGAAAGGCAGCUUGUUACUAUGGCAACACCGACAGACAGAAGGACAGGUCGGACCCCCAAAAGAAUCUCCUCUCUCCACAUAGAUCACAACUACUUCCUGUGACUCACACUUCCUGUUUCCUGUCUGCGUGGGCGAGGAAGGAAAAGAGCGAGAGGAUCGGGGUGAUCGGCGUGGGUGUGGAGGAGCGGCCCCGUUGCCACGGCGACGAUGCACGAGGACGGGGGAAGGGGAGGGCGGCGAGCCCUCGCCGGCCAAUCGCGGCCCAACCUGGUGCAUGAUGGGA